This 102-nucleotide ribosomal RNA is filed under the name Myroides profundi. Its description in RNAcentral is "23S rRNA. Bacterial LSU". It matches the Rfam family "Bacterial large subunit ribosomal RNA", at positions 2821 to 2925 of the family's 2925-position model. The record is from RNAcentral. Lineage: Bacteria; Pseudomonadati; Bacteroidota; Flavobacteriia; Flavobacteriales; Flavobacteriaceae.
AUUUCUUUAAAGGGUCGUUGGAGAUUACAACGUUGAUAGGCUAUAGAUGUAAAGACAGUAAUGUCAAAGUCGAGUAGUACUAAUAACCCGUAAGCUUAUGUG